Molecule: long non-coding RNA, 1238 nt
Filed under: Coturnix japonica (Japanese quail)
Lineage: Eukaryota; Metazoa; Chordata; Aves; Galliformes; Phasianidae
Description: lncRNA (ENSCJPG00005003056.1)
Source: RNAcentral
AUUGUUCUGCACGUGUUUUCCUAGAUGAAAUGAGAGCAGUGGGUCUUACAAACAGUGCCAGCUGCUAAAGAAGUUAGAUGCAAAGUCUGGGGGAAAUAAAUAAAUAAAUAAAUAAAUACAAAUUAAGGAUUUCUGCCCUCAUUCCUUACAAAGCAGUUUUUGAACGUGGGAAAUAACAUCAUUCCCUGACCCCAAGAGUUGGAAUGGCCCAUCCCACUGAGUGGCACUGGUGUGAUGAGGUUGGUACAGCACUGUGGGGUCUGAGUGUCAUCUCAGUACAGAUGGGGAUGGGCUCAUGGUGCAUCUCCACUUAUUUCAGAGCUGGAAAGAAGAUUGGUUACUACACAAGACCUUCCAUAGGGCAUAAGGCAGUGCUGAAUGGCAGAGCUCAGCUCCAGCUGCUCAUUGUCAGAAAAGCCAUCAGCCCAAGAGCUGGGUGAAAACGGCCCUCAUCUGUUAAAAUGAGUUUGGCAGCGCGUUCCUUCCCCUGUUAACCUUAUCAGUGAGCAGAACAGGUGAGGAAUGCAGAGAGCCCUCAUGCAAUGCAAAGUGAGGAGCAUUGCACAGUCCUCAGCAACAUAGUUUUCAGCAGCUAAAACCACUGGUGUGAGAGAAAACUGGGACAUAGGAAAUGCUUUGCAGAGAGCCCACCUGCCCUGAAUGAGCCAUCUCCUCAUGAGAUCUGCCUCAUGUGAACCAGCUUCUAAGAGUUGGUUUGGAGGAGAAUCAUGAAAACACAGUGCUACCUUCUCUUCAGCUGCCAUCAGUACCAGCAAUCAUCACCUUCAGAACAGCGUGUCUGGGUGUGCAAUGCCACGUGUAGGAUUUCUGCCUUUUGGUUGUGCAGCGUGAUUGAGUUUUCACACCCCUGUGCACUGCAGAUAAGAGCAAGCCGUGCUUGGGGCUCCAUCUCAGGAAGAGACUGCUCAUAUUUCCAUUGUCACAGGCAUUAAUCUGAAAUCUAAAUUGCUUCCUAUUUGGGAAAGCCUCUCAGCUUUUUCCAUGCAGAUUAUUCCUCCGGUAGCUCGAUAGGAACACCUUGCUGUUUUGCACUUAAAAAUAAUUCCCCCCAAUAGGAAACAAAGAGCAAAUGGGUAAAACGAGGCUUGCAAUAAUCUGCAAUUUACUCAGCACUUUAAGGUUUGCAUUGUGCAGAACCUUUGUACAGUCAUCCAGGUAAGCAAAGAAACCUUUCUAACUUGGUUGGUUUGCUGGGAUGGAUCACGAUGGAACCUUUU